Molecule: ribosomal RNA, 253 nt
Filed under: uncultured bacterium
Lineage: Bacteria
Description: partial 16S ribosomal RNA
Rfam family: Bacterial small subunit ribosomal RNA
Source: RNAcentral
UACCGAGACUGCAAGCGUUAUUCGGAUUCACUGGGCGUAAAGGGUGCGCAGGCGGCCGAGUGUGUGAGGCGUGAAAGCCCGGGGCUUAACCCCGGAAUUGCACCUCAAACUACACGGCUAGAGCAUUGGAGAGGGUAGCAGAAUUCACGGUGUAGCAGUGAAAUGCGUAGAUAUCAUGAGGAAUACCAGAGGCGAAGGCGGCUACCUGGACAAUUGCUGACGCUCAGGCACGAAAGCGUGGGGAGCAAAAGGG